Panicum hallii is the source of this 595-nucleotide long non-coding RNA. RefSeq lists it as uncharacterized. The record is from RefSeq and is a predicted model, not a curated record. The transcript is spliced from 3 exons. Lineage: Eukaryota; Viridiplantae; Streptophyta; Magnoliopsida; Poales; Poaceae.
CAAGAGCCAGCAUCCAGCCUCGUACGAAUCCAAUGAUAAAGCCACCAACGAAGGUUGUCACAAGCUUGUCUGCAGACAUUCUUGAAGCUGCUUCCGCAGUUGUCAUCUCUACGUCAAAGAAUGCAAUGUCUUGCCUGAGAACAGCUUCGAGGUAUAGCGAUCGCAGCCGUGUCGACUGCCUUUCUCCAGCCACUGUCCAACAUGACACCUCUGGAGCAGCUGCUACGAGGUCGUUCUUUACUUGGUUCAAGUUGUAAGUAGAAUAUUAGCCACAUGGUGAAGCACCGAAGUUGUGAAGUAUUGGUACUAAGAUAAUGUGAAUAACCGAAAAUGUCGGAGUCUUAGCAAAUACCCCAAGUUGUGACCGUGUGAAUAGCCAUGCAUCCAAUUGGCAGUGCCCAAUUUGUACUCUUGGGAACUUUGUGAAUGAGCUACAAUAACGAAAGUUUCCGUUUUCUUUGUUUGAGCUUUCACUGCUUCUAUGACCCGACAAGAACGCCAGCUGUGCCAACUCCUAUGUAGCUAUUGGGCAUCAUUCAUUCACUCAUUCUUACAUUUAUAUGGUCCAAGUCCAAACAUAUACUCCCUCCAGUAU